This 464-nucleotide ribosomal RNA is filed under the name uncultured bacterium. RNAcentral's name for it is "bacterial SSU rRNA". It matches the Rfam family "Bacterial small subunit ribosomal RNA", at positions 34 to 507 of the family's 1533-position model. The record is from RNAcentral.
CGCUGGCGGCGUGCUUAACACAUGCAAGUCGAACGAGGUCCACUGCGUAGCAAUACAAGGGAAGACCUAGUGGCGAACGGGUGCGUAACACGUGAGGAACUUGUCCCCGGUCUCUGGGAUAACAGUUGGAAACGACUGCUAAUACCGGAUGACGUCGGAAUCUCGCAUGGGAUACUGACGAAAGGGUUACUGGAUCGGGAGAGCCUCGCGGCCUAUCAGCUUGUUGGUGAGGUAACGGCUCACCAAGGCAUCGACGGGUAGCUGGUCUGAGAGGAUGAUCAGCCACACUGGGACUGAGACACGGCCCAGACUCCUACGGGAGGCAGCAGUGGGGAAUCUUGCGCAAUGGGCGAAAGCCUGACGCAGCAACGCCGCGUGCGGGAAGAAGGCCCUCGGGUUGUAAACCGCUUUCAGUAGGAACGAAAAUGACGGUACCUGCAGAAGAAGGUGCGGCCAACUACGUG